CCCUUUGAUUUGAUCAAGACCUCCUUCUGCCCCGGGGGCGACCCGGACCUCGCGGUCCGCCGGUCCCCCCGGUGGUCACCAACCAAAACUCUGCAUCAAUUGUCGUCUGAGCGUAUUGAGAAAUCAAUCAAAACUUUCAACAACGGAUCUCUUGGUUCUGGCAUCGAUGAAAAACGCAGCGAAAUGCGAUAAGUAAUGUGAAUUGCAGAAUUCAGUGAAUCAUCGAAUCUUUGAACGCACAUUGCGCCCUUCGGUAUUCCGGGGGGCAUGCCUGUUCGAGCGUCAUUACACCACUCAAGCCUGGCUUGGUAUUGGGCGCCGCGGUCUUGUCCGCGCGCCUCAACGUCUCCGGCUGAGCCGUCCGUCUCUAAGCGUUGUGGUAAAACGUCCGCUUGCGAGAUCGGAGAGCGUUGGCCGUUAAACCUCUUUCACAGGUUGACCUCGGAUCAGGUAGG
RNAcentral lists this ribosomal RNA (455 nucleotides) under Teratosphaeriaceae sp. 08 IP-2014. RNAcentral describes it as "eukaryotic LSU rRNA". The stretch from base 132 to 285 matches the Rfam family "5.8S ribosomal RNA". The record is from RNAcentral. Lineage: Eukaryota; Fungi; Ascomycota; Dothideomycetes; Mycosphaerellales; Teratosphaeriaceae.